Molecule: transfer RNA, 86 nt
Filed under: Minisyncoccota bacterium
Lineage: Bacteria; Bacillati; Minisyncoccota
Description: tRNA-Leu
Rfam family: tRNA
About the family: Transfer RNA (tRNA) molecules are approximately 80 nucleotides in length. Their secondary structure includes four short double-helical elements and three loops (D, anti-codon, and T loops).
Source: RNAcentral
GCCCGGAUGAUGGAAUGGUAGACAUAGAGGACUUAAAAUCCUCAGCCGUUAUAGGCGUGCGAGUUCGAGUCUCGCUCCGGGCACCA